CCCAGACAGCCAGGAUGUUGGCUUAGAAGCAGCCAUCAUUUAAAGAAAGCGUAAUAGCUCACUGGUCGAGUCGGCCUGCGCGGAAGAUGUAACGGGGCUAAACCAUGCACCGAAGCUGCGGCAGCGAACGUAUCACUUAAAGCGAUUCAGCGGGUUACGAUUGACGGAGCGAAGCGACGUCAAAGCGUAUACAAAGUCGAGUCGGUUUAGGGAUACGUUCGUUGGGUAGGGGAGCGUUCUGUAAGCCUGUGAAGGUGUGUCGUGAGGCAUGCUGGAGGUAUCAGAAGUGCGAAUGCUGACAUAAGUAACGAUAAAGCGGGUGAAAAGCCCGCUCGCCGGAAGACCAAGGGUUCCUGUCCAACGUUAAUCGGGGCAGGGUGAGUCGACCCCUAAGGCGAGGCCGAAAGGCGUAGUCGAUGGGAAACGGGUUAAUAUUCCCGUACUUGGUGUUACUGCGAAGGGGGGACGGAGAAGGCUAUGUUGGCCGGGCGACGGUUGUCCCGGUUUAAGCGUGUAGGUGUGUGUUCCAGGUAAAUCCGGUUCACUUUAACACUGAGGCGUGACGACGAGGCACUACGGUGCUGAAGCAACAAAUGCCCUGCUUCCAGGAAAAGCCUCUAAGCAUCAGGUAACACGAAAUCGUACCCCAAACCGACACAGGUGGUCAGGUAGAGAAUACCAAGGCGCUUGAGAGAACUCGGGUGAAGGAACUAGGCAAAAUGGUGCCGUAACUUCGGGAGAAGGCACGCUGACACGUAGGUGA
Molecule: ribosomal RNA, 763 nt
Filed under: Salmonella enterica subsp. enterica serovar 4,[5],12:i:-
Lineage: Bacteria; Pseudomonadati; Pseudomonadota; Gammaproteobacteria; Enterobacterales; Enterobacteriaceae
Description: bacterial LSU rRNA
Rfam family: Bacterial large subunit ribosomal RNA
Source: RNAcentral